ACCCAGCUGACGAGUCCCAAACAGGACGAAAUGCGCGUCCUGGAU
Molecule: non-coding RNA, 45 nt
Filed under: Schistosoma margrebowiei
Lineage: Eukaryota; Metazoa; Platyhelminthes; Trematoda; Strigeidida; Schistosomatidae
Source: RNAcentral